ACGAACGCUGGCGGCGUGCUUAACACAUGCAAGUCGAGCGGUAAGGCCCUUUCGGGGGUACACGAGCGGCGAACGGGUGAGUAACACGUGGGUGACCUGCCCUCAGCUCUGGGAUAAGCCCGGGAAACUGGGUCUAAUACCGGAUAUGACUCCAUGACGCAUGUUGUGGGGUGGAAAGCCUUGUGCGGCUGAGGAUGGGCCCGCGGCCUAUCAGCUUGUUGGUGGGGUGAUGGCCUACCAAGGCGACGACGGGUAGCCGGCCUGAGAGGGCGACCGGCCACACUGGGACUGAGACACGGCCCAGACUCCUACGGGAGGCAGCAGUGGGGAAUCUUGCGCAAUGGGCGAAAGCCUGACGCAGCGACGCCGCGUGAGGGAUGACGGCCU
RNAcentral lists this ribosomal RNA (387 nucleotides) under uncultured bacterium. Its description in RNAcentral is "bacterial SSU rRNA". It matches the Rfam family "Bacterial small subunit ribosomal RNA", at positions 29 to 417 of the family's 1533-position model. The record is from RNAcentral.